UAGGGUGACACUGGUGGCCAUGGGGUGGCAGUGGGAUGGCAGUGGUGGCCAUGGGGUGGCAUUGGUGGCGAUGGGGUGGCAAUAGGGUGACACUGAUGGCCAUGGGGUGGCAAUGGGGUGGCACUGAUGGCUGUGGGGUGGCAUUGGUGGCCAUGGGGUGGCAAUAGGGUGACACUGAUGGCCAUGGGGUGGCCAUAGGGUGGCCAUGGGGUGGCAUUGGUGGGCAUGGGGUGGCACUGGUGGCCAUAGGGUGGCCAUGGGGUGGCAAUAGGGUGACAUUGAUGGCCAUGGGGUGGCAGUAGGGUGACACUGAUGGCCAUGGGGUGGCAAUAGGGUGACUCCGGUGGCCAUGGGGUGGCAUUGGUGACCAUGGGGUGGCAAUAGGGUGACACUGAUGGCCAUGGGGUGGCAGUGGGUGACACUGAUGGCUGUGGGGUGGCAAUAGGGUGACACUGGUGGCCAUGGGGUGGCAAUAGGGUGGCACUGAUGGCAAUGGGGUGGCAAUAGGGUGACACUGAUGGCCAUGGGGUGGCAUUGGUGGCCAUGGGGUGGCAAUAGGGUGGCACUGAUGGCAAUGGGGAGGCCAUGGGUGGCCAUGGAGUGGCAAUAGGGUGGCACUGGUGGCCAUGGGGUGGCAAUGGUGGCCAUGGGGUGGCUAUAGGGUGACACUGGUGGCUAUGGGGUGGCCAUGGGGUGGCAGUGGGUGACACUGGUGGCCAUGGGGUGGCAUUGGUGACCAUGGGGUGACCCUGGUGGCCAUGGGGUGGCCAUAGGGUGACACUGAUGGCAAUGGGGUGGCAUUGGUGACCAUGGGGUGGCUAUAGGGUGGCACUGAUGGCAAUGGGGUGGCAAUAGGGUGGCACCGAUGGCCAUGGGGUGGCACUGGGAUGGCAGUGGUGGCCAUGGGGUGGCAAUAGGGUGACACUGAUGGCCAUGGGGUGGCAUUGGUGGCCAUGGGGUGGCCAUGGGGUAGCAAUGGGUGACAUUGGUGGCUGUGGGGUGGCAAUAGGGUGACACUGAUGGUUGUGGGGUGGCAAUAGGGUGACACUGAUGGCUAUGGGGUGGCAAUAGGGUGGCACUGAUGGCCAUGGGGUGGCAAUAGAGUGACUCCGGUGGCCAUGGGGUGGCAUUGGUGGGCAUGGGGUGGCAAUAGGGUGACACUGGUGGCCAUGGGGUGACAGUAGGGUGACACUGAUGGCUGUGGGGUGGCAAUAGGGUGGCACUGAUGGCCAUGGGGUGGCACUGGGAUGGCAGUGGUGGCCAUGGGGUGGCAGUAGGGUGACACUGAUGGCUGUGGGGUGGCAAUAGGGUGGCACUGAUGGCCAUGGGGUGGCACUGGGAUGGCAGUGGAGGCCAUGGGGUGGCAAUAGGGUAACCCUGGUGGCCAUGGGGUGACACUGGGAUGGCAGUGGUGGCCAUGGGGUGGCAAUAGGGUGACACUGAUGGCAAUGGGGAGGCCAUGGGUGGCCAUGGAGUGGCAAUAGGGUGGCACUGGUGGCCAUGGGGUGGCAAUGGUGGCCAUGGGGUGGCUAUAGGGUGACACUGGUGGCUAUGGGGUGGCCAUGGGGUGGCAGUGGGUGACACUGGUGGCCAUGGGGUGGCAUUGGUGACCAUGGG
Molecule: long non-coding RNA, 1617 nt
Filed under: Gallus gallus (chicken)
Lineage: Eukaryota; Metazoa; Chordata; Aves; Galliformes; Phasianidae
Description: lncRNA (ENSGALG00010000780.1)
Source: RNAcentral